Molecule: ribosomal RNA, 429 nt
Filed under: Actinomycetes bacterium
Lineage: Bacteria; Bacillati; Actinomycetota; Actinomycetes
Description: Actinobacteria bacterium partial 16S ribosomal RNA
Rfam family: Bacterial small subunit ribosomal RNA
Source: RNAcentral
UAGGGAAUCUUCCGCAAUGGGCGAAAGCCUGACGGAGCAACGCCGCGUGAGUGAUGAAGGCCUUCGGAUCGUAAAACUCUGUUAUUAGGGAAGAACAAAUGUGUAAGUAACUAUGCACGUCUUGACGGUACCUAAUCAGAAAGCCACGGCUAACUACGUGCCAGCAGCCGCGGUAAUACGUAGGUGGCAAGCGUUAUACGGAAUUAUUGGGCGUAAAGCGCGCGUAGGCGGUUUUUUAAGUCUGAUGUGAAAGCCCACGGCUCAACCGUGGAGGGUCAUUGGAAACUGGAGAACUUGAGUGCGGAAGAGGAAAGUGGAAUUCCAUGUGUAGCGGUGAAAUGCGCAGAGAUAUGGAGGAACACCAGUGGCGAAGGCGACUUUCUGGUCUGUAACUGACGCUGAUGUGCGAAAGCGUGGGGAUCAAACAGG